RNAcentral lists this ribosomal RNA (1343 nucleotides) under uncultured bacterium. RNAcentral's name for it is "16S ribosomal RNA". It matches the Rfam family "Bacterial small subunit ribosomal RNA", at positions 28 to 1378 of the family's 1533-position model. The record is from RNAcentral.
GACGAACGCUGGCGGCGUGCUUAACACAUGCAAGUCGAACGGAAAGGCCCUGCUUUUGUGGGGUGCUCGAGUGGCGAACGGGUGAGUAACACGUGAGUAACCUGCCCUUGACUUUGGGAUAACUUCAGGAAACUGGGGCUAAUACCGGAUAGGAGCUCCUGCUGCAUGGUGGGGGUUGGAAAGUUUCGGCGGUUGGGGAUGGACUCGCGGCUUAUCAGCUUGUUGGUGGGGUAGUGGCUUACCAAGGCUUUGACGGGUAGCCGGCCUGAGAGGGUGACCGGCCACAUUGGGACUGAGAUACGGCCCAGACUCCUACGGGAGGCAGCAGUGGGGAAUAUUGCACAAUGGGCGGAAGCCUGAUGCAGCAACGCCGCGUGCGGGAUGACGGCCUUCGGGUUGUAAACCGCUUUCGCCUGUGACGAAGCGUGAGUGACGGUAAUGGGUAAAGAAGCACCGGCUAACUACGUGCCAGCAGCCACGGUGAUACGUAGGGUGCGAGCGUUGUCCGGAUUUAUUGGGCGUAAAGGGCUCGUAGGUGGUUGAUCGCGUCGGAAGUGUAAUCUUGGGGCUUAACCCUGAGCGUGCUUUCGAUACGGGUUGACUUGAGGAAGGUAGGGGAGAAUGGAAUUCCUGGUGGAGCGGUGGAAUGCGCAGAUAUCAGGAGGAACACCAGUGGCGAAGGCGGUUCUCUGGGCCUUUCCUGACGCUGAGGAGCGAAAGCGUGGGGAGCGAACAGGCUUAGAUACCCUGGUAGUCCACGCUGUAAACGGUGGGUACUAGGUGUGGGGUCCAUUCCACGGGUUCCGUGCCGUAGCUAACGCUUUAAGUACCCCGCCUGGGGAGUACGGCCGCAAGGCUAAAACUCAAAGGAAUUGACGGGGCCCCGCACAAGCGGCGGAGCAUGCGGAUUAAUUCGAUGCAACGCGUAGAACCUUACCUGGGUUUGACAUGGAUCGGGAGUGCUCAGAGAUGGGUGUGCCUCUUUUGGGGUCGGUUCACAGGUGGUGCAUGGCUGUCGUCAGCUCGUGUCGUGAGAUGUUGGGUUAAGUCCCGCAACGAGCGCAACCCUUGUUCACUGUUGCCAGCACGUUAUGGUGGGGACUCAGUGGAGACCGCCGGGGUCAACUCGGAGGAAGGUGGGGAUGACGUCAAGUCAUCAUGCCCCUUAUGUCCAGGGCUUCACGCAUGCUACAAUGGCUGGUACAGAGAGUGGCGAGCCUGUGAGGGUGAGCGAAUCUCGGAAAGCCGGUCUCAGUUCGGAUUGGGGUCUGCAACUCGACCUCAUGAAGUCGGAGUCGCUAGUAAUCGCAGAUCAGCAACGCUGCGGUGAAUACGUUCCCGGG